This 268-nucleotide long non-coding RNA is filed under the name Mytilus galloprovincialis (Mediterranean mussel). The record is from RNAcentral. Lineage: Eukaryota; Metazoa; Mollusca; Bivalvia; Mytilida; Mytilidae.
AAACAUUGGAAUAAAGUCAAAAGAAAAAUCCCUAAUUCUAUAUUCAAACUGUAAAAAACAAAGAAAAUCCAAGUCAUACUUGAGCUUGAUCCAAAAAUUUUACGUAAAAAUGAUUACAUUCCUCAAAUUUAGAAAUAAGUUCCCCUAAUGCAAAGCUUCAAGAUUUUUUAUUACGAGAGGGGAAAAAAGACUAGGCCAAGAGAAAAAAUGGAAUAUAAUUGAAAAUUCCACAGACAAUUGGAUAAUUUGGCAAUUUGCAUUAUUUUAA